This is a non-coding RNA of Podarcis lilfordi (Lilford's wall lizard), 77 nucleotides long. The record is from the annotation of a GenBank genome assembly. Lineage: Eukaryota; Metazoa; Chordata; Lepidosauria; Squamata; Lacertidae.
UGUCCUUAUCGUGCUCGGUUGGUACAGCAAGAGACUCUUAAUCUCAGGGUUGUAGGUUCGAGUCCCACGCUGGGUAA